RNAcentral lists this ribosomal RNA (465 nucleotides) under uncultured bacterium. RNAcentral describes it as "partial 16S ribosomal RNA". It matches the Rfam family "Bacterial small subunit ribosomal RNA", at positions 28 to 507 of the family's 1533-position model. The record is from RNAcentral.
GACGAACGCUGGCGGCGUGCUUAACACAUGCAAGUCGUACGGUAAGGCCCUUUCGGGGGUACACGAGUGGCGAACGGGUGAGUAACACGUGAGUAACCUGCCCACAACUUUGGGAUAACGCUAGGAAACUGGUGCUAAUACUGGAUAUGUGCUCCUGCUGCAUGGGGGGGGUUGGAAAGCUCCGGCGGUUGUGGAUGGACUCGCGGCCUAUCAGCUUGUUGGUGGGGUAGUGGCCUACCAAGGCGGCGACGGGUAGCCGGCCUGAGAGGGUGACCGGCCACAUUGGGACUGAGAUACGGCCCAGACUCCUACGGGAGGCAGCGGUGGGGAAUAUUGCACAAUGGGCGCAAGCCUGAUGCAGCAACGCCGCGUGCGGGAUGACGGCCUUCGGGUUGUAAACCGCUUUCAGCAGGGACGAAGCUUUUUGUGACGGUACCUGCAGAAGAAGCACCGGCUAACUACGUG